This 445-nucleotide ribosomal RNA is filed under the name uncultured Chloroflexota bacterium. RNAcentral describes it as "bacterial SSU rRNA". It matches the Rfam family "Bacterial small subunit ribosomal RNA", at positions 925 to 1382 of the family's 1533-position model. The record is from RNAcentral. Lineage: Bacteria; Bacillati; Chloroflexota.
ACAAGCAGCGGAGCGUGUGGUUUAAUUCGAUGCAACGCGAAGAACCUUACCAGGGCCUGACAUGCUUGAGGUGAAACUCGAAAGAGGGACGACCUGUAUCCAAUCAGGAGCUUGCACAGGUGCUGCAUGGCUGUCGUCAGCUCGUGCCGUGAGGUGUUAGGUUAAGUCCUGCAACGAGCGCAACCCUCGUCGCUAGUUAAUUUUUCUAGCGAUACUGCCCGUAUAACGCGGAGGAAGGUGGGGAUGACGUCAAGUCAGCAUGGCCCUUACGUCCUGGGCUACACACACGCUACAAUGGGUGAUACAAAAGGUUGCAAUAGAGUGAUCUGGAGCUAAUCCUGAAAAUCAUCCUCAGUUCGGAUUGUAGGCUGAAACUGCCUGCAUGAAGUUGGAGUUGCUAGUAACCGCAGGUCAGCACACUGCGGUGAAUACGUUCUCGGGCCUU